AGCUUUGUACAGUAGGAGUAUCAUAGCCAGUGAGGUUUAUCUGAGGAAUGAUUAUUGCUAAUUGAAAUUACUCAGUGGCUCAGCCUUCUGAGUGGACUGAAGUGGAUAUAAACACAAUCAACCAACUAGAUAUAGUUGGUAGUUAUAGAUCACUCCAUCCAACAACAGCAG
Molecule: small nuclear RNA, 171 nt
Organism: Heterocephalus glaber (naked mole-rat)
Lineage: Eukaryota; Metazoa; Chordata; Mammalia; Rodentia; Bathyergidae
Gene: U4
Rfam family: U4 spliceosomal RNA
About the family: U4 small nuclear RNA (U4 snRNA) is a component of the major U2-dependent spliceosome. The structure of U4 snRNA from yeast and human has been reported. U4 snRNA presents a k-turn RNA motif in the 5p-SL related to recognition of Snu13 protein.
Source: Ensembl